RNAcentral lists this transfer RNA (63 nucleotides) under Sumaterana dabulescens. RNAcentral describes it as "partial tRNA-Val". Lineage: Eukaryota; Metazoa; Chordata; Amphibia; Anura; Ranidae. The record is from RNAcentral.
GUAGCUUAGCAAAGCCUCCCGCUUACACCGAGAAAACAUCUGUUAAACCCGGAUCAUCUUGAG